This 564-nucleotide ribosomal RNA is filed under the name uncultured bacterium. Its description in RNAcentral is "bacterial SSU rRNA". It matches the Rfam family "Bacterial small subunit ribosomal RNA", at positions 1 to 525 of the family's 1533-position model. The record is from RNAcentral.
UAGAGUUUGAUCCUGGCUCAGGAUGACCCUUGGCGGCGUGCCUAAUACAUGCAAGUCGAACGCAUUGUGGCUGAUAUGAUAUGAAGAACUUGUUCAGAUUUGAUUUUCAACAUUGCAAUGAGUGGCGAACGGGUGAGUAACACGUGGGAAACCUACCUCUUAGCAGGGGAUAACAUUUGGAAACAAAUGCUAAUACCGUAUAAUAAUUAAAACCGCAUGGUUUUAGUUUAAAAGAUGGUCUUGCUAUCACUAAGAGAUGGUCCCGCGGUGUAUUAGUUAGUUGGUGAGGUAAUGGCUCACCAAGACAAUGAUACAUAGCCGAGUUGAGAGACUGACCGGCCACAAUGGGACUGAGACACGGCCCAUACUCCUACGGGAGGCAGCAGUAGGGAAUCUUCCACAAUGGACGAAAGUCUGAUGGAGCAACGCCGCGUGUGUGAUGAAGGGUUUCGGCUCGUAAAACACUGUUGUAAGAGAAGAAUGACAUUGAGAGUAACUGUUCAAUGUGUGACGGUAUCUUACCAGAAAGGAACGGCUAAAUACGUGCCAGCAGCCGCGGUAAUA